This 373-nucleotide unclassified non-coding RNA is filed under the name Hevea brasiliensis (rubber tree). The record is from RNAcentral. Lineage: Eukaryota; Viridiplantae; Streptophyta; Magnoliopsida; Malpighiales; Euphorbiaceae.
GUGUGGUGAUCAUGAUUAUUUAAACUCAAGAGAUAAAGGUUAAGUAAAGGGAAUGAAGUUCAUAUCUAAGUUCAGCUUUGUAAUGUUUUGUAUUCACUGCACAUGUAAGCAAUAUGCAGAAUAUUGUAGAAACUAUAUUAGAAAAAAUGAGAAUGUGUUUGCAUUUGAGAGUGAUUUUUGUAUAUCCUUUUAGUACUUUCUAUUUGGGAACCUAUGCAAGGGAGUCUUUACUGAAGAGUUUUCACUUGGUAUGGUUACAUAAUUUUUCAUGAUUUGACUCUUCAUCUUCAGAAUUGGGCAACAUAAUUACAUUACUUGUAGGGCAAGUUGUGUUGUUUGAUGGAUUGGAAUAAAAGGUGAAACUAGAUUUGUG